CGGGGGAAAAUGAAUUUUUAAUUUUAAUCGUGAAACUUAUGUUAGGUCGAUUUCUGUGUGUUUUUUUAGCAUUUUUGUGUUCAUAGUACACACCUGUUACUGAAGGCUGUGUAGUGUCAACAUACAUCAUGUGUACAUAUUGAUACACAGGCGCAAAAUAUAAGGGAGAUAUGCAAAAGACAUACGAUGGAUCAGGAGGUAUGUUACUGUUGCAAAAUUGAAAGUUGACUAUUGAAAAGUGGAAAUUAUGACGUUUGUCCUAGAUUUUAUUUUGAAAUCUUCUAUCUGUCUUAA
Molecule: long non-coding RNA, 294 nt
Filed under: Mytilus galloprovincialis (Mediterranean mussel)
Lineage: Eukaryota; Metazoa; Mollusca; Bivalvia; Mytilida; Mytilidae
Source: RNAcentral